RNAcentral lists this microRNA precursor (103 nucleotides) under Marmota monax (woodchuck). Lineage: Eukaryota; Metazoa; Chordata; Mammalia; Rodentia; Sciuridae. The record is from RNAcentral.
AGAGGGGUAGCUGGGUCAAAUGGUAGUUCCAUUCCAAGUUUUCUAAGGAAUCUCCAUAGUACUUUUCAGAUUGGUUGCACCAAUUUGCAAUCCCACCAGCAAU